GAUGAACGCUGGCGGCGUGCCUAAUACAUGCAAGUCGAACGGAAAGGCCCUGCGUUUGCUGGGUGCUCGAUUGGCGAACGGGUGAGUAACACGUGAGUAACCUGCCCCUGUCUUUCGGAUAACUUCAGGAAACUCGGGCUCAUAUCGGAUAUGAUCUCCUGCUGCAUGGUGGUGGUUGGAAAGAUUCGGCGUUUGGGGAUGGACUCGCGGGUUAUCAGCUUGUUGGGCAGGUAGUGGCUUACCAAGGCUUUGACGGGUAGCCGACCUGAGAGGGUGACCGGCCACAUUGGGACUGAGAUACGGACCAGACUCCUACGGGAGGCAGUAGUGGGGAAUAUUGCGCAAUGGGCGGAAGCCUGAGGCAGCAGCGCCGCGUGCGGGAUGACGGCCUUCGGGUUGUAAACCGCUUUCGCCUGUGACGAAGCGUGAGUGACGGUAAUGGGUAAAGAAGCACCGGCUAACUACGUG
RNAcentral lists this ribosomal RNA (468 nucleotides) under uncultured bacterium. RNAcentral's name for it is "partial 16S ribosomal RNA". It matches the Rfam family "Bacterial small subunit ribosomal RNA", at positions 28 to 507 of the family's 1533-position model. The record is from RNAcentral.